AGAGUGAACGCUGGCGGCAGGCCUAAUACAUGCAAGUCGAACGGCAGCACAGCAGAGCUUGCUCUGGUGGGUGGCGAGUGGCGGACGGGUGAGGAAUACGUGGGAAUCUGCCCAGUCGUGGGGAUAACGUAGGGAAACUUACGCUAAUACCGCAUGCGCCCUUCGGGGGAAAGCCGGGGACCUUCGGGCCUGGCGCGAUUGGAUGAGCCCACGUCGGAUUAGCUAGUUGGCGGGGUAAAGGCCCACCAAGGCGACGAUCCGUAGCUGGUCUGAGAGGAUGAUCAGCCACACUGGAACUGAGACACGGUCCAGACUCCUACGGGAGGCAGCAGUAGGGAAUAUUGGACAAUGGGCGCAAGCCUGAUCCAGCCAUGCCGCGUGAGUGAAGAAGGCCCUCGGGUUGUAAAGCUCUUUUGUCCGGAAAGAAAAGCGCCGGGUUAAUACCCUGGUGUCCUGACGGUACCGGAAGAAUAAGCACCGGCUAACUUCGUG
RNAcentral lists this ribosomal RNA (492 nucleotides) under uncultured bacterium. RNAcentral's name for it is "bacterial SSU rRNA". It matches the Rfam family "Bacterial small subunit ribosomal RNA", at positions 26 to 507 of the family's 1533-position model. The record is from RNAcentral.